Long non-coding RNA from Daphnia pulicaria, 644 nucleotides. RefSeq lists it as uncharacterized. The record is from RefSeq and is a predicted model, not a curated record. The transcript has 5 exons. NCBI's taxonomy places the organism in Eukaryota, Metazoa, Arthropoda, Branchiopoda, Diplostraca, Daphniidae.
CUCUCACGUUAUCACUCGUUUCGCUGUUCAGCUUUCAUUUUACUAACCGAUAAAAUGUUCACAACAUUCAGUGCUCAUUCUUUGGCGCUAACUGGCAAGUGGCAACUGCAUAAGGCGACUAUUCAUUAGCUGAUUAAAAUUGGCACGAUCGAAAUUCCUACCUCUCCACUGAAGGGUUUACAGACAUCACAUUUUAUCAUUGCUGUUAGAUACGUCUGUAAAAAGAUGGAAAUUCGUGGGAUAUUGCUUCGUGCGUUCGUCCACGUGUUAAUUUGGUUCUGUAAAAACAAGAAACGAAUUUCAUUGUACAACACUGCAGCGACUGUAUCUUGGACACUGGUUGAAGUCGCCAACGAUCAUCAGAUUCUCUCGUCUUUUCACGCUGUCCAAGAAUUCUUCAAACUCUUCACGAAAGUCAGCUUUGCUCCCAGCUGGGCGGUAGAUGACAAUGAGCGUCAUUUUGUCUCUUGGACUGAUGCUACUCCACCGUGACCGUCCGAUCGUGGCUCGUGAACACCUUUAAACCCUUCAGGACACGCCUCUUUCAUAUCGGAAUCAUCGACGAACCAGCUGCUUUGAAUCAACGCAUUUCAAACCCCGUGCUCAGUUCUCGUGUCGUGGUGCUAAGCAGAGCCCAGAUCCAC